Molecule: ribosomal RNA, 490 nt
Filed under: uncultured bacterium
Lineage: Bacteria
Description: bacterial SSU rRNA
Rfam family: Bacterial small subunit ribosomal RNA
Source: RNAcentral
GACGAACGCUUGCGGCGUGCCUGAGAAAUGCAAGUCGAGCGGGGUGUAGCAAUACACCUAGCGGCGAACGGUCGAGUAACACGUAAGCAACCUGCCCUGCAGUGGGGGAUAACAGCGGGAAACUGCUGCUAAUACCGCAUAGGCAUAUUUCUGGGCAUCCAGGGAUGUGUAAAGGCUAGACUGCUGCAGGAGGGGCUUGCGGCCUAUUAGCUAGUCGGUGGGGUAACGGCCUACCGAGGCGACGAUGGGUAGCUGGUCUGAGAGGAUGGUCAGCCGGAUCGGGACUGAGACACGGCCCGGACUCCUACGGGGGGCAGCAAUCAGGAAUAUUGCGCAAUGGGGGAAACCCUGACGCAGCAACGCCGCGUGCGGGAUGAAGGCCUUCGGGUCGUAAACCGCUGUUGUGGAGACGAAUGACUGUCGAUGAGGCAGUGGAGACGGUAUCUCACGAGGAAGCCCCGGCUAACUACGUGCCAGCAGCCGCGGUAAA